Molecule: ribosomal RNA, 326 nt
Filed under: uncultured Enterobacter sp.
Lineage: Bacteria; Pseudomonadati; Pseudomonadota; Gammaproteobacteria; Enterobacterales; Enterobacteriaceae
Description: bacterial SSU rRNA
Rfam family: Bacterial small subunit ribosomal RNA
Source: RNAcentral
GCCUGAGCAGCCAUGCCGCGUGUAUGAAGAAGGCCUUCGGGUUGUAAAGUACUUUCAGCGGGAGGAGGGGCUGUUAAUAACCACAGCAAUUGACGUUACCCGAGAAAAGCGCCCGCUAACUCCGUGCCAGCAGCCGCGGUAAUACGGAGGGUGCAAGCGUUAAUCGGAAUUACUGGGCGUUUACAGUCAAAGGAAGGUCUGUCAAGUCGGAUGUGAAAUCCCCGGGCUCAACCUGGGAACUGCAUUCGAAACUGGGAGGCUAGAGUUUGUAGAGGGGGGUAGAAUUCCAGGUGUAGCGGUGAAAUGCGUAGAGAUCUGGAGGAAUA